RNAcentral lists this long non-coding RNA (5313 nucleotides) under Panax ginseng (ginseng). Its description in RNAcentral is "long non-coding RNA (PGIN_LNC015642)". The record is from RNAcentral. Lineage: Eukaryota; Viridiplantae; Streptophyta; Magnoliopsida; Apiales; Araliaceae.
CAAAAAUUCCCUAAACUCUCCCGCACCUUUGCCCCUUUCUCAUUCUGCCUUCUCCUUAUCCCGCCGGACAUUUCCUACAUAUUUGUCUCCUUUUUAUGUUUACAUCCAAUACAAAUAUUUCCCCCAAAAUCAAGUCUUCUUCAUCUUCCUGAAAGCAGGGCGGCGGCAGCAGAAACAGCAAGCAGCAAGGUUCUUUUCCCUCUGCACUUUCACUUUAAUUUUUUUUAGAGCUAUAGAGUUGAAUCAGAGAAAUUUGGGAUUUGGGUUUGAGUUUUUUUAAAAUGGGACAAUUUUAUUUUGAGAGAACAUAAGAGGGUAAAUUAUACCCACAUUGGCCACCCCCUACUAACACUUUGAUUAUCUCUCAAUCUUAUCAUCCCGGUACCUGUGUAAUAAGAAAACCCAUAAUUUUUUUAGAGAAAAUUGUAGCACCAUUUUUCUCGCAUUGCUUAAUUUGAGCUUUUUAGUGGUGUUCUGAGCUUUAAAUAAGUUUUAUUUGUACCGGAUUUUUGUAAACUUAACGAUUUGAAGAAGUUUUUUAGCAUUAUUGAGUUUUGAAGAGCUUUAUUUGUUCUGGGUUUUUGAAAUCUUGAAGAUCUGAAGAAUUUUUGAGCAUUAUUGAGCAGUCAAAUCGAUGGGGAAGCGCAUAAAAUCGAGGGGAUUGUUUGGUUGGUUUAUUGUCAGAUUUCCAAAACCCUAACAUUUGCUUUUUGUUUUUUAUUUUCCUCUUUUAUUGCAGUUGAUGAGCCACUCAAGAUCACAUUUGAGGUAUUUAUAUGUGUAUAAACUUUUAUGCUUGAUGUUGGUUUCUGAUCUGAACAUAAAAAAUUUUUUUUUAGCUGAUUGAUCUGUUCUUUUACUUUUGGAAUUGGACUGCAUAAAGUGUUAAUGCGAAGUACUCUUUUUUGUGUAAAGCUGUUAACUUUUGGAUCUGAUUGAUCUGUUUCCAUGUUCUGUGUUUGCUCUUUAGUAACAUUUCUUUGAACAUGAUGAUGUUCUAAUGUACAGGUAAUAAUCCCUUUAUAUCAUAAAAUCAUUCUCAUUAUGUCAUUUUUAUACUGAUAGGAAUAUAAAAAAUGACUCAUUUGGUGAACAAAUUUAUUUUGUUUUGUUUUUAAUGAGAUUUUAGUGGAAGAGAGGGAGUACAAUAUUCUGGAAAAUUAAAAAAAAAAUAACAUAACUUUUAAAUACCUUCAAAACACUACUUUUGAAUACCUUCAAGUGUGGUUGGAAAAAAAAAGUCAACUUUUGAAUACAUUCAGUUUGGAUGAAAAGAAAAGUUUGUAUCUCUUUGCUUGGGAUUUUCAUUAAACAUCUUUCCUCAUAGCAACUGAAAACAAACUCCACUUUCCAUUACAUUUAAUUUCUCUUGCUACAACUCAAAAUAAAUAUGCAAGAAAAUCAUCAUAAACUUUGGACCAUAAUAAAGUGUUGUAAUUCAUGUAUGAAGGGGAUGUUAUGAUUGUUGUGUGGAGUAAUAAGGGUACUAAAAUCUGGGCUAAACCAUAACCAAAUACUUAUGAGUUCUGUCCUAAAAAUAAAUGCACAUGUUAUGUUCGAUAAAUUACCUCUAAGAGGCUAUCAAGUAUAAAAAGGGAGAGUUGGUCAAGAUUGUUAAUAGAGAAGUCUUCAUAUAUGUUAGAUGAUGUACAUGGAGUAAUUUAUGUAACCUGUUAUAGACUGUUUUACAUUACAACAUAUAGGAUUUUAUAUUUCAUGGGUAUAAACAAAAUACUACAAUUUUUGCUUUGUAAGAAUACUGCUCUCAAUGAUUUUUGUAUCAAAUAAGAGAUAACUGCAUUUUGCUUUGUAAGAACUGCAUUGUUUUCGUUAUAGGUAUUGUUCUAGCCGUAGACAAAUCAGUGGUGUGUAAAUUGUCUAAAUUCCAUAAGCUUUGUAACUCUUUUAUGCUUGUAUAUAUUAUUGGUCCCAAAUUAAUGAUUUUCUCUAAUUAUUGACGUCCAACACAUUUGUUGAUUGUAAACUUUUUUUCUUUGGUUUACAUCGGACCAUGCCCAAAGAUUCAUGAUCAGAAGUUGAAAGAAAGGUAAUGAAUGAGUAUAAUUUGGAAUUUACAAGCAUGGGACUGUUUUAUAUUAUUUCAUAAUUUAUGUUGCUAAGGCAUUUUAAUAUUCUUUAGAUUCUACUAGAAGAGCUUCUUGCCUUCUAUAAUGUUCAUUAUAUUUUUUCAUUUGAGCUUGUUGUAUGUAUAAUAAUAACUGUGAGAUGUUGCCUUUGAUUAUUUGAUCAUGUUGGAUGUCUAACUAUUAAAAUACUUUGAUCAUAAAUACAUAGCAAAAAUGUUCAUAGGCUCUUCCCACAUCCCGUACUUAAUAUCGUUACCUUUUGUACUUUGCCUACAAGUACUUAAUAUCGUUAUCAUAACAAAAAUGUUCAAAGUAGAUGUUUUACAUAUAGUAAAUGUGUUUCCCUUCUUAUUUUUGCGUAUAGUAAAUAGAGUGAUGUUCUCCUUUGGCUUUCUUGUAAUUAACGUUAGUAAUGUUAUAUGUUUGCAAAUAAUGAUGUUAUAGUAUUAGUGUUGUUAUAUAAGUCUAAAGAUAAUGUUAUUAUUACUAUAUUACAAAUUAUUUGCAUUCAUGCUUUUGGAUCGUGAAAGUGUUCUAGCUUUUUAUUGAGGCAAAUUUUGUUACUGCUGCAGAGUUUCUUGAUUGUGUAUGCGCUGAUGUCUUUAGAAUCGAAAAUGGCACAAGUUAUAACUAAAUGAAGGUAUGGUUUUGAAAGUAUAAUCUAGAUCAUUGUUAACAUUCAGGUAAAUAUUAAGUUUCUUUAUUACUGUUAUAAAUAAUAAUGAUAAAAACUAUAGCGUUAUUGUUCUCCACUGUUGUCCUUUUUUUUUUGCUAAAUUGAAUCACAUUUCCUUUCAUUUUACUUUUCAACUAUUCAUGAUCUUGUAGAGGCGGCCAAAAUUUUAAAGAUUCAAAGGGAACUAGAUGAAACAAAAAUUAUACUUGUAAGUCUUUAGGUUUCCAGUUGGUCGUAUGCUCAUUUGUUCUAUCUGCUUCGAAGAAGUAGGUUUACUUUCCCUAAAGCAAACAUUAAGCAUAUUAUAUACGAUACUGCUUGAAGGUAACAUGAAGUCAUUUUUGAUGUUUGAUAAACAAACAUUAAGCAUAUUAUAUACGAUAAGCAAUAAACCUACUUAACAUACCUUAAUAAGCCAACAUGAUGUUUGAUGUUUUACAAUACUUCAUUUAUAUAUCAAACAUUUAUAUAACACAAACAUUUAUAUCUUGGAGAAAUAUUGCAUUUAUAUAUGAGUUUUGUUAUGCAAUACUGCAUUUUGGUAGACAAUCUACUAUACAAAUUGCUUCAUUUGAAGGUACUGUAUUAUUUAUAAUUUUAAAUACAUUUAUAAUUUUAAUUGAUUUGAGUUGUCCAAAAUUUUAAAUUUAGUGUUUCCUUAUAUUUUUCUAGGAAAUUUUUAAAAAAGAUACACCACAUCAUUUCCUUCAUUGACUUUCUCAAUACACCAAAUUUAAAUUUAGUUUACCACUCUUCUAUUUUGAAAAAGAUACACCACAACAUUUCCCAAAAGAAUGUAAAGGCGAAAAAAAAGUACAAAGAAGAAGAGUUUAUAGAAAAUAUAAAUUUGUAAAACAUAAUUAGAGUUCAACAUUUUUUCAGAAAACUAAUUAGAGUUCAAGCUCUGACAAUUUUUGAAGAAACAUUUCUAUAAUAUAAUGUUUAAAUUCAACGAGAGGUUUAUUUUUUUAAAUAGCUUCCUAUGUGUGUAUGCUUAUUUUAUGUCUCUGCUUUAUGUUAUAAGUUGAUCACUAAUGUUUGAGCAAUCUGGGUAACAUGUACUACCUCCUUUCCAAAUUGAGUCUUAUUUGACUUUUUAAUUUUUUUCCCCUCUUAUGCAGAUUAAGGUUUGUAAUAGAUAAUUUUCUUCCCCCAAUAUAACAUUUUUUUUUUAAUAUCUUAUCUCCACGUGUGUCUAUGGCAACCUUAGUAUGCGUAGGAAGUGUCACAAGUAAAAUGGAAAUUUCAUUUUUGGAAGUAGGUAAAUAUGGAUGCAUAUGAUCGGGAACUUUCAUUUACCAUUGAUCAUUCUUGUGGUUUGCUUACACAACAUUAUCCAUUAAUGGGUAGCAUGGUCUUUACUGUUUCUUUAGGUUUUUGUUGCCUUUUGAAGAAUCUACACUUAUUUUGAAACAAAAACUAAGCCAAAAGUGACUUAUUUAAAUCUUAAGAGCACAAAUAACACUUUGAAGCAUCUUACGUGAUUGCUCUUUCUUGGCAGAUUGGUUAUCAAUUUUGUUUUAGUCUUUAGAGCUUAAUCCAUUUACAACACAAUAUUCAUAACUUAUACAGAGUCUGAUCACAUCGAAGUCUAGACUUCGUGGUUGGAGAUAUUAACCAGUAUUCUGCAGUGUUGAAACCAAGUAUGGACUCGAUACACUCCAGCUUAUAUUGAGAGAGAAAACAUCUGUGAUUGUGGGUCCAAGUGGUGUUGGAAAGUCGAGUCUAAUCAACACUUUGAGUACUUGAUAUAUUAUCUUUUGCUACCCUUAUUGCACCCAAGCUAAAAAUGUACCACGUGAACUUCUCAGCCUGCUACCCUUACUGCAACAUUUAAACAGGUGAGAAGCAGAUUACUUGAGAAAAAAUAUAAGACCUAUUAAGAUAGAGCUUAAACAGCAUGCAUGCUGUUUAAAGAAGUUAAACAUAAGAUGUCCUUAUACAAUUAUUAUGACACCAAUUAAAGAAGUUAAACAUAAGAUGUCAAGAAAAUAAACUCAACCUUUUAUUCUGAUUCAACUUCCAACAGAACAAUAUAUAGUAUAAAUGUAUCGUAAAAUAAAAUAAAAAAAUAAAGAAAUACAAAAAAUAAAGCUGGGCUCAUAAGAUUUGGAACAAUAGUAUUGAAUGUAUUUUUGAAACAAUAGUAAAAUAAAUACAAAAAUACAAAAAAUGUUAAGUUUUUGUCAUGAUAUUUAAUAUACAAAAUUUGUCUUUGCAGCUUCAUUUGCUCAUGUUUAACUCAUGUUUAAUUUAUUAAGUUUGCUCUUACAGGUUGAUCUAAGUGAUAGUAACAACAUACCUGUCAAUGUUUUAUCUAAAUGUGCGAUUAAUCAAUUACAUAUGGAUAAGGUAACACUACUGGUAUUGAUAAAAAAAUUAUUUUGAUAUUAGUUUGCAUUUUUUGACUAAUGUCUUAUUUUUUACUUCAUAGGAGAAUUCACAUGUGAAUCACUUGAACAACCCAAGUGUUAUUCCAUCUUCAACAAAGGGGAAAGAAAAAAUUGGUUGUUCUAUUGGAAAAGAAAAUUGGUUUAAUUAACUGGUAUG